Molecule: transfer RNA, 72 nt
Filed under: Camelus bactrianus (Bactrian camel)
Lineage: Eukaryota; Metazoa; Chordata; Mammalia; Artiodactyla; Camelidae
Also listed under: 1 other name
Rfam family: tRNA
About the family: Transfer RNA (tRNA) molecules are approximately 80 nucleotides in length. Their secondary structure includes four short double-helical elements and three loops (D, anti-codon, and T loops).
Source: Rfam by way of RNAcentral
GAGGGUGCAGCUCAGUGGUAGAGCAUGUGCUCAGCAUGCAUGAGGUCCUGGGUUCAAUCCCCAGCACCUCCA